CAUCUUUUCUAGUAUUUUAUUUGAGAUCUGACCUGCCCAAUGAUUUAUUUAAAUGGCCGCGGUAUUUUGACCGUGCAAAGGUAGCAUAAUCAUUAGUUUAUUAAUUGUAGACUUGUAUGAAUGGUUGGACGAAAUAUUAACUGUCUCAUAUUAAUUUUUAUAAUUUAAAUUUUGAGUUAAAAUGCUUAAAUAUUUUUAUAGGACGAGAAGACCCUAUAGAUCUUUAUUUUUGAUUUUUUUAUUUAUUUUGGUUUAUUUUUAUAUAAUUAUUUUAUUUAUUUUGUUGGGGUGACAUUGAUAUAUAAUUAACUAUUUAUUUUUGAUAUUCAUUUAUUUUUGUUUAUUUGACCUUUUAUUAUUGUUAUAAGAUUUAGAUACCUUAGGGAUAACAGCGUAAUUCUCUUUGAGAGUUCAUAUCGACAAGGGAGAUUGCGACCUCGAUGUUGGAUUAAGAAAAUAUUUAGGUGUAGGUGCUUAAUUGUUAAGUCUGUUCGACUUUUAAAUUCUUAC
This 510-nucleotide ribosomal RNA is filed under the name Candovia coenosa. Its description in RNAcentral is "partial large subunit ribosomal RNA". The stretch from base 385 to 510 matches the Rfam family "Bacterial large subunit ribosomal RNA", at positions 2473 to 2599 of the family's 2925-position model. Lineage: Eukaryota; Metazoa; Arthropoda; Insecta; Phasmatodea; Lonchodidae. The record is from RNAcentral.